ACUGCUCAGUAACACGUGGACAACCUGCCCUUAGGUUGGGUAUAAACCCGGGAAACUGGGUAUAAUACCCGAUAGGUCUCGAUUGCUGGAAUGCAUCGAGAUUUAAAGCUCCGGCGCCUAAGGAUGGGUCUGCGGCCUAUCAGGUAGUAGUGGGUGUAGCGUACCUACUAGCCUACGACGGGUACGGGUUGUGAGAGCAAGAGCCCGGAGAUGGAUUCUGAGACACGAAUCCAGGCCCUACGGGGUGCAGCAGGCGCGAAAACUUUACAAUGCUGGCAACAGCGAUAAGGGAACCUCGAGUGCCAGGUUACAAAUCUGGCUGUCGAGAUGCCUAAAAAGCAUUUCAUAGCAAGGGCCGGGCAAGACCGGUGCCAGCCGCCGCGGUAACACCGGCGGCUCGAGUGGUAACCGUUAUUAUUGGGUCUAAAGGGUCUGUAGCCGGCCGGAUAAGUCUCUUGAGAAAUCUGGCAGCUUAACUGUCAGGCUUUCAGGAGAUACUGUCUGGCUCGAGGCCGGGAGAGGUGAGAGGUACUUCAGGGGUAGGGGUGAAAUCUUGUAAUCCUUGAAGGACCACCAGUGGCGAAGGCGUCUCACCAGAACGGACCUGACGGCAAGGGACGAAAGCUAGGGGCACGAACCGGAUUAGAUACCCGGGUAGUCCUAGCCGUAAACGAUACUCGCUAGGUGUCGGCCACGGUGCGACCGUUGUCGGUGCCGUAGGGAAGCCGUUAAGCGAGCCACCUGGGAAGUACGGCCGCAAGGCUGAAACUUAAAGGAAUUGGCGGGGGAGCAC
RNAcentral lists this ribosomal RNA (793 nucleotides) under uncultured archaeon. RNAcentral's name for it is "bacterial SSU rRNA". It matches the Rfam family "Archaeal small subunit ribosomal RNA", at positions 85 to 879 of the family's 1478-position model. The record is from RNAcentral.